UACGUAGGGCGCAAGCGUUAUCCGGAAUUAUUGGGCGUAAAGAGCUCGUAGGCGGUUUGUCGCGUCUGCUGUGAAAGACCGGGGCUCAACUCCGGUUCUGCAGUGGGUACGGGCAGACUAGAGUGCGGUAGGGGAGACUGGAAUUCCUGGUGUAGCGGUGGAAUGCGCAGAUAUCAGGAGGAACACCAACGGCGAAGGCAGCUCGCUAGGACGGUACUGACGCUGAGGCGCGAAAGCGUGGGGAGCAAACAGGAUUAGAAACCCCAGUAGUCCCUGAGACUACCAAGGCACACA
Molecule: ribosomal RNA, 294 nt
Filed under: uncultured bacterium
Lineage: Bacteria
Description: partial 16S ribosomal RNA
Rfam family: Bacterial small subunit ribosomal RNA
Source: RNAcentral